RNAcentral lists this long non-coding RNA (2160 nucleotides) under Fukomys damarensis (Damara mole-rat). RNAcentral describes it as "lncRNA (ENSFDAG00000031376.1)". Lineage: Eukaryota; Metazoa; Chordata; Mammalia; Rodentia; Bathyergidae. The record is from RNAcentral.
UGUGUGGCAGAGGUCAGGGCCGGGAGGUCGGAUGUGGAAGAGUAGGGUAAAGAAAAAACACAUCUUAGAAAUCUAGGGUUUGGCUUAAGCUUCAUUAGAGAGCAUAGUUGGCCCAGGCCGGGCACAUAACUCUCCCUGCUCCCCUUUGUGUUUACUUCUCAUUGUCUCUUCCAGGGAAAAGUAAGAACUUGUUUUAAAAAGGCUUUGGCUUAAAAACAAAACUGUUCUUCAGAGUUCGUCUCACCUGAAAUUGACCCCACAUAUCCAGAGCACUCCCUGAAGGUUCCUGUUCAUGCAGUCUCUGUUGUACUCUGCACUGACAACCAAAAUGGAGGACCCUAAAAAUGGAACCUGCAGCCUGCACACUCCCUGGCCCUUCUGAGCGACACUCCUCAGACAGCACCUACCCAUUGGUUCCUGCAAAAGGAGGCUCCCAAAUCACGUGCAGAACCUGGCAUCUGGGAUCACAAUGACAGAGGAGGCUCGUAGGGUGCAAGGGUCAGAGAGAUGGCUGGUUGUGCAGAGUACACGGGGCCAAGAGGUGCACAUGGCAGCCAAAUCCAACUCUGCCCGAAGCUUCCUUGAGUACUUCACAUACACGGCCUUUGCCUUCCCAACAGAGUCCUUCCUACUAUCAUGUUACACACAGAGGAUCCGCCCAGAGAUGACCUCCAUGACAGUAUGGGCCCUUCAGCCUCCAUCUUGUGAAACAGUAUCUCCCUUCUACAUAAACUGCCUUAUCUGCUUUUCUUAAGGACUUCAUUUGGUCACUGAACUCUUAGUCUGGGAAACAUGCUGUGUAAAGUGGAGAAGCACCCAUGGCUGUGGGUGACUGAGAGUAAGCCAGAGUUUCAGGUAUCCAGACAGCAGGAAGAAUCAGACAGCAGGAAGAUGACUUUCUAUCGAACCGACACACACGGUGACCAGGAUGGCAGCAGCCCUUCCAGGUUGCCAAGACCUGAAGGAGAGCUUACAGCAAUCAAGGGUCUUCUGGUCCUCAGCAAAUGGACUUUUAAAACUGUCCUAAUCAUGGGCCAAGGAUUUAGACCAGUGGUUCCGACGCAUGCAAGGACCCAAGUUCAAUCCCUGGCAAUAGAAGAAUGUGAGAACACAAGCCAAACCAGCAGUGUUGGUUAUAGGAAACUCCAUAGAACAUUCUAGUCACUCAACAAUAGCAGCAGCAGCAACAACAAGAACAAACGACAGAGGUGGAGUGGUAAAUGUGAAAGGAAAACCCACAGAAGUGCUGUAGGGGUGGACACACCAACUGGUCACACUGCCUGGAACCCUGUGUGGUUCCUGAUUCAAAAAGCAAAUGGCUAAAAAAAAAAAAUUGGGAAAUGGAAACACUGAUGAAACUUUAAGGACUUGCUAACAAACGAUACUGUGGCUGUUUUAAAAAUUUCUAAAUUUUGAAAGUACGUACUGCAACAUAUACAGAAGAAAUUAAAUGACGUAUGAGAUAUGCUCCAAGAUUCUCACCUCUUGGAGGUGGGGGAUGCGGUGGGAAUGCAGAGGAAACCAACCUGCCCAGGACUGGUGACUGCUGGGUCGAAGCUACAGAGGGGUCACAAAAAGUUGUCACCACUAGAAAACAAUGGCGGCAAUACACCAGAGCAGCUGUACGAGAGGCACGGUGCCCUCCAUCAGAAAUAAGGCUGGAGACAUGCAGUUCCAGGUGAUAAUGGCUGGGGAGAAGGCCGCCUAGGUCUAGGUCCACUGAAGCUUUUAUUUCCCCCUUGAAUGCAAAUUAAAUUUGACCUUUUGCUAAAAUACGAGUUAACCAGCGGUUGAACCGAAUGUUCAAGCGAUGUGAUCACCACAGCAAGCCCAAUUUCAAGUGUGCCCAGCCAGGAACGGGGGAGGGGACGGAUGUGAGCCCUCUUCUGGCCCCUGUAGUCAAUUAACAUAGUCUUCCAAGCAGGAGGUGCCAUUAUCUUUAACUCAGUAGACACAACUGUAUAUAAUUAGAGGUCAUAAUUAUGAUUCUCUUUAAAAUGUGACCAUCAUAUCCAAAUCGAUGUCUUGUGGCGACCUGGCCUACACGCUGGGAAACACAAAACAGGCGGGAACAGGCUCUACCCAGUUAUGCUGACAAGCGACAGCAGCCUCGAUCCCCUCAAAACUUCGAAUGUCAGGCAUCCACCCUUAGUCCCCGCG